This 378-nucleotide ribosomal RNA is filed under the name uncultured bacterium. RNAcentral describes it as "bacterial SSU rRNA". It matches the Rfam family "Bacterial small subunit ribosomal RNA", at positions 521 to 896 of the family's 1533-position model. The record is from RNAcentral.
UAAGACGUAGGGGGCGAGCGUUGUCCGGAUUCAUUGGGCGUAAAGCGCGCGUAGGCGGCCCGGUAAGUCGGGUGUGAAAUCCUGGGGCUCAACCCCAGGACUGCACUCGAUACUGCCAGGCUAGAGGUAGGUAGGGGAGAUCGGAAUUCCUGGUGUAGCGGUGAAAUGCGCAGAUAUCAGGAGGAACACCGGUGGCGAAGGCGGAUCUCUGGGCCUUACCUGACGCUCAGGCGCGAAAGCUAGGGGAGCGAACAGGAUUAGAUACCCUGGUAGUCCUAGCUGUAAACGUUGGGUGCUAGGUGUGGGCGGAUAUCGACCCCGUCCGUGCCGAAGCUAACGCAUUAAGCACCCCGCCUGGGGAGUACGGCCGCAAGGCUA